CAAUAAGUUAGUUGAUCUGCUAGUUAGACCCAUAAUAAUGCAUUUUUUAUGGUAGUAAGCAAGUGAUUCUACCGCGAAGUCAAAAUAAAUUAGUGAGCAACGUCGAUGGAAAACUUUAAGAUCUUUUUUUUGUUAGCUCUUCUAUUUCUUGGCCUUAACUUAGGAAGUCCCAGAAAGUUAACUAGAACUUGUGGAAUGGGGCUGUGCGUAUCUGUAAGAAAUAGCUGCCCUCGAGUAACGGGAAGGUGCGUCCAAAAGAACGAAAAAUGUUGUAAAGUUAGAUGGCAUUGGGAAUCGAAAUGAUAUAAGUAAUUAAAAUAAAACUUGAUUCCAAUACGAAA
Drosophila ficusphila is the source of this 341-nucleotide long non-coding RNA. RefSeq lists it as uncharacterized. The record is from RefSeq and is a predicted model, not a curated record. NCBI's taxonomy places the organism in Eukaryota, Metazoa, Arthropoda, Insecta, Diptera, Drosophilidae. The transcript is spliced from 2 exons.